GUCUACCACCAUGCAACCCUGAACGCGCCUGAUCUCGUCUGAUCUCAGAAGCUAAGCAGGGUCGGGCCUGGUUAGUGCUUGGAUGGGAGACCACCUAGGAAGACCAGGUGCUGUAGGCG
RNAcentral lists this ribosomal RNA (119 nucleotides) under Pteropus alecto (black flying fox). Lineage: Eukaryota; Metazoa; Chordata; Mammalia; Chiroptera; Pteropodidae. The record is from RNAcentral.